RNAcentral lists this ribosomal RNA (428 nucleotides) under uncultured bacterium. Its description in RNAcentral is "partial 16S ribosomal RNA". It matches the Rfam family "Bacterial small subunit ribosomal RNA", at positions 354 to 796 of the family's 1533-position model. The record is from RNAcentral.
GUAGGGAAUAUUGCGCAAUGGGGGAAACCCUGACGCAGCGACGCCGCGUGAGUGAUGAAGGCCUUCGGGUCGUAAAGCUCUGUUGCAGGGGAAUAAAAAAAUGAAGGUACCCUGUGAGGAAGGAUCGGCUAACUUCGUGCCAGCAGCAGCGGUAAGACGAGGGAUCCUAGCGUUGCUCGGAAUCAUUGGGCGUAAAGAGGGCGUAGGUGGCUUGGUAAGUCAGGUGUGAAAGAACAGGGCUCAACCCUGGAAGUGCAUUGGAUACUGCUGAGCUUGAGUGUCGGAGAGGUUACCGGAAUACCUGGUGUAGUGGUGAAAUACGUAGAUAUCAGGUGGAACACCGGAGGCGAAGGCGGGUAACUGGACGAACACUGACACUGAGGCCCGAAAGCGUGGGGAUCAAACAGGAUUAGAUACCCGAGUAGUCC